Long non-coding RNA from Gallus gallus (chicken), 6484 nucleotides. The record is from Ensembl. NCBI's taxonomy places the organism in Eukaryota, Metazoa, Chordata, Aves, Galliformes, Phasianidae.
CCUUCUCUGCAGCAAAGGGGGGGGACAAAUGCUGCCUCCAGCCUUUCCAAUGGCCCCUCUUUGAGUUCAGAGCUCUUGUCAUUCCCGUGCCUGGCUGAUGCUCUAUUAUUGAAGUUUCAAGCUUUCUCGUUCAGCAGCUUUACCAAAUUUGCUCAGAAAAUUAGAAAAUUGCUAUGUAUAUAUCCAACCCACUUCUCUUGUCAGUUCUGAUUUAGUGCUAGAGAUCAGAGGGAUGCUCAGGUAGGAGCAUCAGGUAAUUACCCUCAAAGAUGCCUGGGUCCCAAAGGCAGCCUUGAGAGGAACGGAUACCACGAGGAGGGGGCUGGCACAGGUACUGCUGCACGGAGCUCAGAGCACACAUUGGGAAAGGCACAGCAGCGAGGAUCCAGAAUCACCUUUUCUCCAGGAAGUGAAAAGCCUUGGGAAGAUUGGAUCAUGCAUUAUUUUUACCCUUGCAAAUGGUUCCCAGGCGCACUGAGCUCAAGCUGUGAAAAAUAGAGAGCACAAGCACUGGCUCCUGAGAUGCUGACCAUAGGGCUCAGGUUGGAUACAGUCACACAGAUAAAACCUCUGCGGGGUCCCAGCUGAGACUGCAUCACCUCGUGGGACCUUGGCAGCAACACAAGGCUGCUGUGCCCGAGGCUCUGGUGGGAAGAGGCACCAACACACCUUGGUUCCUCCGAGAUGAAUUUCAGACUUCUGAGCAAACCUGGCUUCCUGACAACUUGGCUUCGUCUGCUUAUUACAUGUAACACAUAACCUCCUUAAUAUUACACAUGGCACGUUUAACUGCUUAAUUUACUUUGGGAAAUCUUGCCAAGUGCAGCUAUUCUGUUGACGUAUCAUUUGCAUGAUAAACUUGUAUACUUUAAGCUACGAAUAGGACGCAUCUGUGAGCUAUCCAUCCACAACUUUACAAGCUCCCAGCAGCACAGGAUCUUCACACCUACAGUUGGAGCCCUACAUCGUGUCUGGGGAGGGAAGGAUCCCUUCUCUGGUGCCUUGUCUGCAUCAAGGAAUCAGAUGGGGUAGUUCUGAAAUAACUUCCUGUGCAGACGUUCUCUUUGGACUGGAAAUGGCUUAUAUUUUUAAUCACUCUGAACAGCUAUUUUUGCUUGGAUACAACUGGAAAUGACAUUUCUUGCUUAGACAAUAUGCUAUUCUGGCGUAUCCCCUGCUGUGUGCUCACUGCAAGGAGCCUGCGGCUCGGCCUAGGGCAGAGCUUCACAUGCACAAGUGUAUCGACGGGUGGGAGCAGCCCAAACCCUCCCACCAUGGACCCCACAUCCACCCCUUGGCUCCUCUCCAGGCUCCUUUUCUUAGCAUCAUGUGUGUCUAUCUGCACCUUUUUGACGGAGCAGACUUGCUCUGGUGCCUAUCAGCACUAACAAGCACUGCUCCCUCCGCGCCCUGCUCUAUGGGGCAGUCUCACCUCCUUGCUCUCCAUCAUAUUAGGCUUGCAGUCAUGCAGUGCCCUGUAAAGCUUCAAGGCCUUUGAAAACCGAGGGCUGGCAUCUUGAAGUCUAAUUUGACACGUUUCCAACAGGGGAAGCAUUUAUUAUAUUAGACAAGUUGAUGCAGCUCUCAGGUUGGGAAUUGCACUUAUUUGCUGUAAUAAUGGUGUAAAGUCCUCUUCUUUUUAUUGUGUUAUCUCUUUUUAAUCAUGCAGAGACGCUCCCCAGCAAUUUUAAUCAAAGGCUCGAGCAUCACUUAUCUGAAAACUAAUGACUCAACUCAAUGAGAGGAGAAACUUUGAAGAGCUCACGAUUGAGCUGGGAGGAGUGAAAAAGGAGAGUUUAUUCGAAACUUUGCUCUUUCAUUAAGGCAGCCUUUUUUUGGGCCAGGACUUGGCUGUGUGUCUAUAUGCAGCUCCUAGCACAGCGGGACGCGGAGCACGAUAGGACCUCUGGAUCCCAUAGUGAUGCUGGUACUGGGAGAUGACUGGAGAUGCUGGCUGGAGCUCUACGCCUGACAGCAGCCCAGGAGCAGGACUGGUCUGGCUACCCUGAAACACUGAGAUGUGAUCGAGUCUGAGCUGGUUACCAUGCUCCAGUGCUCACUGGAGGUCUGACUGCAGCAUGAGGUGGCAUUUGAAAUGUCUCUGAUGGUGGCCCCAUUCAGGCAUUGGAACGUGUUGUCUGGGGAAAUGGCAAGUCUACAUGCCUGGAGGUACUGAAGACAUUCAUGGAUGUGGCACCAAGGGACAUGGAAUAGAGAUGGGACUUGGGCAAUGUAAAUGGGACUUCACCCCAUCCCCACCUCCUGACUUGAGACUGUGGCUUGAGAACAGCAGGAAUUGCUCAUGGGACAGACCAGGGAUGUAUAUAUCAAGGCUGGAACACAGAGAUGAAAGCAUCCCGGGGGCAGGCAGAAGAGUGGGGCUGGAAUUCAGCUUCCUCACUGCAAGAUUUCACUUUCACUGAGUAGAUAUUUGGUAAAAUAUCUCUUCCUCCUCAUGCUGAGGACCUUAUUGCUCCCCAGGCCUGAGCACAGGAUCAUUCAACAGAAAGACAUUGAAAAAGUCAGCGUUGGCUUUUUCUCUCUGCAAAUAACACCGUGUUUCAGAGAGGCUGAAAUUGCAACAUGAAUCAAAGCAGACAGCUGGAGUCUAUGCGUGCAGCCUGCAGCCCUCAUGCACUGAAGGGCCUGCCCUGUCCCCAGGACGUCUAUGGACGCUCCAAGGUGAGAGCCCUGAGAGCAGUGCCUGGUGAGGAGCAGUGUCCUUCAGGUGACACCCCAAAGGCUUGUGCUCAUCCCAUGGGCAUCUAUGAGAAGAGCAGCUGCUGGGCCAGCUUCUUGAAGGUGGGAAAUCUCCUCUUGGGAGCAGUAAUUGAUGAUAACUCCCCAUUUGGAGCACACGGUGAGUCCCAGAGCCAUGCUCACAGCACCCUGAGUCUUCCAUACUGGAGUGGUGUUGCUCCCUGCCCACCAGCACUGAGGCUGCAGCAGAUUUGCUGUUUUAACAUAGCAUUGCAUCCCGGCUCCGUGUGCCAAAAUCAAUAAAGGGAUCAUGAAUGAUAUUUCAAUAAUAACGAUCAUGAGAACAAAUAUAGCCGUGUGCUGGGUGCUGUGCUCAAAUGCAACAGCACAGUCCCUCUGUUGUAUUUAAAGAUCCUGACCCUGGCUGGUUAGAUACCAGGAAAUCUGCUUAUUGAUUUAAUGACCUUUGGCUGAAGUCGUGAGCAGAGAGGAGGCAGAGGAGGAUGGAAUAGAAUCACAGAGCCAUCAAAUCACUGAGGUUGGAAAAGACCUCUGGGAUCUUCAAGUCUGACCCCUACCCAUCCCACCAUGCCCACCAGCCGUGUCCCUCGUGCCAUGUCUCCAUGCUUCCAGAACACUUCCAGGGAUGGUGACUCCACCACUUCCCUGUUUUAAUGCAUUACUUAAAGGUCUUUUCCAGCUUUAACAACUCUAUGACUAUGACCACUUCUUCUGAGAAGGAACCCUUCCCAAUAUCCAAACUGGAGAGCAGGGAUGCAGCUUGCUUGGCUGGGUUUGUUUCAUUCUACCCUUUUACCCUCUUUCUCUUCGUACUCCAGCACCAAGCUUGUCCAUCCCCAGGGAUAAGCACACCUUAUAGCCCCACGCUCCUCCCAAGGGUGGGUACAUCAGCACAGCCACACAGUGUGGCGCUCCCACCCGGGAGCCACCCUGCAGGAGGGUCUUUGGGUGCCCUCCUUCACCCACAGCUAUUUCCACCUGUGGGGCUGUCUAUGGAUAUCUCACCCCCAGGUCUGUGGGGCAGCCCUGGCUGGGGCCAUGCCUUGCCAAAAGCAUUUCCUGGUGAGUUGCAGCCCCGUGGUGAGCCAGCUGCUCGGCAUGGCUGAGAAUCGACAGGGAACCAAGCGGGUGGAGGAUUUUAAUACCUAUCCCUCUCAAACUGCUAUGGAAAGGGAAAGUUCAUUGGUUGUCGAUAUUAUCCUGCUGUGAUAAAAGCUUAAGAAGCUGCUUUGCAAAUGCCCACUGCGAGGAGCAUGCUAUAAAUGUUUCCAGCAUGAAGUGAUACAUCACAGCUCAUGGAUGUUCCCACUGAGAAAGACCCCAGCUCCAGCUUCUUCCAGGGACGCGCUUAGGAAAUGCAAUCUACCACUGCCAGCAUAAUCAAACACAUAUUGUUCCCAGGCACCAAAGUGGCCACCGGUGAAUUGAUACUUGGGAGCACUUUGUUCUUACACAGCUCUUCAUCUGUCACUCUCAAAAUCUGUGGGUUUUCUCCUUCUUUUUGUUUUUACAAGGGGUUCCUAUUACCAUCUCCACUCUGCCAGGAGGGAAACUGAGGCUGGGAAUGUCACCCAUGACUGCUGAGUCUGUGGACGUCUCCUUGGAAUCACAUCAGUUCAUUACAGGCACAGCUUUCCUUUGGCCAUCAGUGUCCAUCUGCUCAGAUGUUCCGGAGCUCCAUCAUGAAAGCCUGGGAAAUUUAUUUAUUUCAACCCAUUUAAAGUGAUUUCACUAAUGUAUUCCACAGAGUGGGUUUAGCGUGUGAGCUCUUUACUAAAAUCAUUACUGUAUUAAUGAGACCUAACCUAAAGCCACUGAACAUGACUUUAAAGGAAUAUCUCAAAGCGGCGGCUGAGAUGGAUGGGAGCAGGCAGAACGUGUUUGUAAAGUUAUAUUUAGUCAAAUCAAACUGGAACUCAUUAAAUACAGCAAAAUAAUUCACUGAAUAAUUCACUCCAGUUGAAUGCGAAGGAUUUGGAGAACCUUGGGUUGUUUGAUUGAAAAGCAGGUUAUUGAUGCUCCUGUGCAUGUGACAGAGCAGAAAUAGGAGUGGGAGGUGGAGAGCUGUCACCUCGGUGUGAAGGGCCUUCCGUGGAGAAAGGUCCAUCAGAACCAAAGGUUGGCAAAGCGUGGCUGGAAUUAAGGCUCACGCUUUUGUUUGGGAGGGAAAUGAACAGCAGCCCCUGAGUGGGGAGUAUGGGAUGUAGGAGAGCACUCUGGGAGCAGCGCAGGGUCAGAGGAGGAAUGGCUCCAGCAGUGCCUUUGCUUAUACCCAAGCAGGGCAUGCACCUACUCUUAAAGCAAGUAAAACCUCAUUCCCUCAUUCGUGCAAACUUCAGGCCACACCUCAGACCUGGUCCCAACCAUUCAGCCAUCCCUACAGCAUCGGAGAGGAUCAGCUUUGCUUCACAUAUGAGAAAACCCUGGCACAGACACCAUGGCAGCUCAGCCAUGUGUCCCCUCCGCACCCCCUCCUCCUUUAACCCCAUUCAUGCCAGCAUGCUCCGCUCUGGAAUCUCCCAGCAAAAGGAAAAGCUUUAAACAAAAUACAAUUUUACAGUUCAUUUCAGUUAAUCACAGAGUCUAUGUUCUGAAAUGAUCUUCUCGGCAUUGCCUAUGGAGAGAAGCAAUGGCUGAUUGGCAUUCCAUUACUAAACAGCUAAGCCAUUCAUAAUGCAAAAAAACAGACUUGAUGGAAAGAUUUGAUUCAGUUUUCAAGCUAGACUAAUUCAAAACCCAGUGCUCUAUAAAUCAGAGCAAAUGUUCUUUAUAAAAAAAAUAUAGCCGAGCCUGUGUGCAGUAUCAGAUCUAUGAUUUAUGCCUGUAUCCCAUUAAACUGAAGGACAAGCGAGGGGAGCACAGGGCUGCCACUGCAUGCCAGCUCCCUGCCUGCCCCGCAAUAAACACGUUCUGUGACUGCAGGAACAGUGUGAUGUCUGAGGGACGUUUGGGGGCUGAGGGGAUGUUCUGUUUUCCAGGGGCACAGCAAAGCCCCUUGGGGGGCUGUGGAGCCUGCAGGAGGGCAGGGGAUGGUGCCUCGGAGCAGCAGGGCUGUGCUGAAGCCCUCGGUUUUUCCUUCUUUGCUGCACCACCUCAUGCCCUGCAGAGUCCCUUCUGCAGAGAUACCACUGUUUUUCAGCCUGCAGGUGGGAUGUCUCCUUUGAGCAUCACAGGAUACAACAGUUCCCCAGCACCACUUUCAGGCUGCAGCAGAAGGAAGCGGUCCAGGAAACAUCCCACGCGUGUUUCCUUCCUGCUAAACCUCUCCACCCGAUGGCAGCUUCAGCGCUGUGCAUUGCUUUGGUGCAUGGAGCAGUGCUGUGUUCCACACCAAGCCCUGGGUGUGGGUGUUCUUCCACCUCUCCGUGCAUCUCCUGCUCUUGUUUGCCUUCUCUACAGCCCACGUGGCUCCACACCGAGUGGAGCUGGGGGCCGUUAACAUCUGUUGGCACUCCAGAGCUCGUGGGGAAAACGAUGCCAUCUUUCAGGGACCGCCGCUGACAUUUUAAAAGCCGUGUCUGAAAUCCCUGAACAAUUAAGAGCGAGGCUUUCACAUUCCUCCCUACCCACAGCAUUGCACAGGCAAGGCACCAGCUGAGAAGUGCGUGGUGAUAGGAAAAGCCACGAUUAAUGAAUAAUGGAGCGCUGGCAAUAUGUAACUUCCAGGCGGAGCCAUCAUAAUUCAAUCCAAGCAGCAAUAUCAGGGCCUUUCCUUGGAGGAGUCUAAGCAGUGGUUAAAUAUUCAAUAAAAAAAAAAGAUGGC